RNAcentral lists this ribosomal RNA (429 nucleotides) under Gemmatimonadota bacterium. Its description in RNAcentral is "Gemmatimonadetes bacterium partial 16S ribosomal RNA". It matches the Rfam family "Bacterial small subunit ribosomal RNA", at positions 355 to 776 of the family's 1533-position model. The record is from RNAcentral. Lineage: Bacteria; Pseudomonadati; Gemmatimonadota.
UAGGGAAUCUUCGGCAAUGGACGAAAGUCUGACCGAGCAACGCCGCGUGAGUGAAGAAGGUUUUCGGAUCGUAAAACUCUGUUGUUAGAGAAGAACAAGGACGUUAGUAACUGAACGUCCCCUGACGGUAUCUAACCAGAAAGCCACGGCUAACUACGUGCCAGCAGCCGCGGUAAUACGUAGGUGGCAAGCGUUGUCCGGAUUUAUUGGGCGUAAAGCGAGCGCAGGCGGUUUCUUAAGUCUGAUGUGAAAGCCCCCGGCUCAACCGGGGAGGGUCAUUGGAAACUGGGAGACGUGAGUGCAGAAGAGGAGAGUGGAAUUCCAUGUGUAGCGGUGAAAUGCGUAGAUAUAUGGAGGAACACCAGUGGCGAAGGCGGCUCGCUGGUCUGUAACUGACGCUGAGGCUCGAAAGCGUGGGGAGCAAACAGG